RNAcentral lists this ribosomal RNA (458 nucleotides) under uncultured bacterium. Its description in RNAcentral is "partial 16S ribosomal RNA". It matches the Rfam family "Bacterial small subunit ribosomal RNA", at positions 338 to 795 of the family's 1533-position model. The record is from RNAcentral.
CCUACGGGGGGCUGCAGUGGGGAAUAUUGCACAAUGGGGGAAACCCUGAUGCAGCGACGCCGCGUGAGUGAAGAAGUAAUUCGUUACGUAAAGCUCUAUCAGCAGGGAAGAAAAACUGACCUUACGGUCAGCAGACGGUACCUGAGUAAGAAGCCCCGGCUAACUACGUGCCAGCAGCCGCGGUGAUACGUAGGGGGCAAGCGUUAUCCGGAGUUAAUGGGUGUAAAGGGAGCGUAGACGGUGCGGCAAGUCUGGAGGGAAAUGCCGCAGCUUAACUGCGGAACUGCUUUGGAAACUGGCGAACUAGAGUGCGCGAGGGGUAACCGGAAUUCGUAGUGUAGCGGUGAAAUGCUUAGAUAUUAGGAGGAACACCGGUGGCGAAGGCAGCUUACGGGACCGUAACUGACGUUGAGGCUCGAAAGCGUGGGGAGCAAACAGGAUUAGAUACCCCUGUAGUC